AUAUCUAUAGUUUAUGGAAAAUAUUAAAUUGCAAAUUUAGUGAUGUAUUAAUGAUACUGGAUAUU
Molecule: transfer RNA, 65 nt
Filed under: Pseudococculinidae sp. MNHN-IM-2013-40847
Lineage: Eukaryota; Metazoa; Mollusca; Gastropoda; Lepetellida; Pseudococculinidae
Description: tRNA-Cys
Rfam family: tRNA
About the family: Transfer RNA (tRNA) molecules are approximately 80 nucleotides in length.
Source: RNAcentral